Molecule: ribosomal RNA, 280 nt
Filed under: uncultured bacterium
Lineage: Bacteria
Description: partial 16S ribosomal RNA
Rfam family: Bacterial small subunit ribosomal RNA
Source: RNAcentral
UGCCAGCAGCCGCGGUAAUACGGAGGGUACGAACGUUAAUCGGAAUUACUGGGCGUAAAGCGCGCGUAGGUGGUUUGUUAAGUGGGAUGUGAAAGCCCCGGGCUCAACCUGGGAAUUGCAUUCCAAACUGACAAACUAGAGUACGAUAGAGGGAGGUAGAAUUCAGAGUGUAGCGGUGAAAUGCGUAGAUAUUCUGAGGAAUACCGGUGGCGAAGGCGGCCUCCUGGAUUGAUACUGACGGCUGAGGUACGAAAGUGUGGGGAGCAAACAGGAUUAGAUA